This 490-nucleotide ribosomal RNA is filed under the name uncultured bacterium. Its description in RNAcentral is "partial 16S ribosomal RNA". It matches the Rfam family "Bacterial small subunit ribosomal RNA", at positions 30 to 507 of the family's 1533-position model. The record is from RNAcentral.
AUUGAACGCUGGCGGCAGGCCUAACACAUGCAAGUCGAACGGUAACAGGAAGAAGCUUGCUUCUUUGCUGACGAGUGGCGGACGGGUGAGUAAUGUCUGGGAAACUGCCUGAUGGAGGGGGAUAACUACUGGAAACGGUAGCUAAUACCGCAUAACGUCGCAAGACCAAAAAGGGGGACCUUCGGGCCUCUUGCCAUCGGAUGUGCCCAGAUGGGAUUAGCUAGUAGGUGGGGUAACGGCUCACCUCGGCGACGAUCCCUAGCUGGUCUGAGAGGAUGACCAGCCACACUGGAACUGAGACACGGUCCAGACUCCUACGGGAGGCAGCAGUGGGGAAUAUUGCACAAUGGGCGCAAGCCUGAUGCAGCCAUGCCGCGUGUAUGAAGAAGGCCUUCGGGUUGUAAAGUACUUUCAGCGGGGAGGAAGGGAGUAAAGUUAAUACCUUUGCUCAUUGACGUUACCCGCAGAAGAAGCACCGGCUAACUCCGUG